UUGGGCGCUUUUUCAAAUCCCGCCGAUUUACGGCUGAUUUGUUAUGACGUCGUUGUUAGUGUUUCUUCAAGUGAGCAAAGGUUAGUCGGAAGCUUCUCUUUGUCAUAGGUUUUUAUAAAAUUACGAGAGGACCGAAGAAUCAAAGAGUGGGAAAUUGUUUUAUAAAGAAGUAUCGAGUUACGUUUACUGUUAAAACAGUGGUUGUAAUUAUAAAAAUCGAGUGCAUUGUUUUUAAUUCGCCAUGUAAAGGUGGAUGAUCUCCAUUUUGGAUUCGCCAUUUUGUUUGAUAAAAGUUCAUUGACAGAAUUGCCGAAUCUCGAUUAUUAUUUUCACCCAAUAUAGAAUUUUAUAAAUUGUAAAUUUCCAAUAAUUCCAAUGGCUUUACCAGGACCAUCUCCAACCUCCAACUCUCGCCAGGGAACUCAUGGUUUAAAACAGAUUGAUUUGGACCAAAUUUGGGGUGACUUGAAAGAUGGCAUUGAGCAAGUUUAUACAAAUAAACACCAAAAUAUGUCAAAGACUAGAUAUAUGGAAUUAUAUACUCAUGUUUAUGAUUAUUGUACAAGUGUUCACCAGUCAGGACAACGAGCAACGGGAACAAAAGGAAAAAAGGGACAUCCUCCUGGUGGUGCUCAGUUUGUUGGUUUUGAGUUAUAUAAAAGGUUAAAGGACUUCUUGAAGAAUUAUUUACUCAAUUUACUAAAGGUAUGAGUACUUACAGUAUUUUUUUAUUUCAAUAAAAUAACCGUAAGGCAGGGGUGGGCAACCCAUGACCCUCAGGCUGCAUGCAGCCCACAUUGCAUAAAAUAUGAAUAACUAUAUCAA
Long non-coding RNA from Centruroides sculpturatus (bark scorpion), 825 nucleotides. RefSeq lists it as uncharacterized. The record is from RefSeq and is a predicted model, not a curated record. NCBI's taxonomy places the organism in Eukaryota, Metazoa, Arthropoda, Arachnida, Scorpiones, Buthidae. The transcript is spliced from 3 exons.